CCAAUGGACGUAAUCCACUAAACCCAAGCAAGCCUAUUAUUUAUCUUACUUAUGAUUCUAUUUAUUAUCACUAAGUCCUAUUUCAUGACCUUGAGUCAAAAUAGUGAUAUACAUUGCCAACUCGUACUGGCAUUACUCUUUUAGAAUUUACAUUUAAGUUAAUUUUUAGAAUUUACAUUUAAGUUCAUCUAUACAUAACAAAAUAAUACCCGACCUCCAGCGGAGUGACUCGGAUGGAUAUACAGCUACCGAAUGC
This 256-nucleotide long non-coding RNA is filed under the name Theobroma cacao (cacao). Its description in RNAcentral is "long non-coding RNA (TCAC_LNC003743)". Lineage: Eukaryota; Viridiplantae; Streptophyta; Magnoliopsida; Malvales; Malvaceae. The record is from RNAcentral.